AGUGAACGCUGGCGGUAGGCCUAACACAUGCAAGUCGAACGGCAGCACAGUAAGAGCUUGCUCUUACGGGUGGCGAGUGGCGGACGGGUGAGGAAUACAUCGGAAUCUACUUUUUCGUGGGGGAUAACGUAGGGAAACUUACGCUAAUACCGCAUACGACCUACGGGUGAAAGCAGGGGAUCUUCGGACCUUGCGCGAUUGAAUGAGCCGAUGUCGGAUUAGCUAGUUGGCGAGGUAAAGGCCCACCAAGGCGACGAUCCGUAGCUGGUCUGAGAGGAUGAUCAGCCACACUGGAACUGAGACACGGUCCAGACUCCUACGGGAGGCAGCAGUGGGGAAUAUUGGACAAUGGGCGAAAGCCUGAUCCAGCCAUGCCGCGUGAGUGAAGAAGGCCUUCGGGUUGUAAAACCCUUUUGUUGGGAAAGAAAAGCAGCAGGUUAAUACCCCGCUGUUCUGACGGUACCCAAAGAAUAAGCACCGGCUAACUUCGUG
Molecule: ribosomal RNA, 492 nt
Filed under: uncultured bacterium
Lineage: Bacteria
Description: partial 16S ribosomal RNA
Rfam family: Bacterial small subunit ribosomal RNA
Source: RNAcentral